This 518-nucleotide long non-coding RNA is filed under the name Anser brachyrhynchus (Pink-footed goose). RNAcentral describes it as "lncRNA (ENSABRG00000006188.1)". The record is from RNAcentral. Lineage: Eukaryota; Metazoa; Chordata; Aves; Anseriformes; Anatidae.
UGGCAUUCUCAUUUUUCUAGGAUUUUCUCUUAGUUUGUUCCUUCUUUUGGGCAGAGGCUGAUGCGUGCUCUGCAGUGUAGUCCCAGACUGAGAACAGCAAUUGAAAGCAUGGGACAACCUUCAGAAGAUGCCGUGGCUCUUGUGUUUUUAGAUAGCUUCAAUGUUGGCAAUGGGUUCUCCCCACAAUGAUAAAUCUGCUCCCUGUUACACUGUGAAGGCUGAUCUGACUGAACAGGGUAGCAGCAGAAACACCCUUGGCGUGGCAUCUCAGUAACCCUUAAGGAAUUUCACGAUAUUCAAGAUGGACAAGAUAAGUCACCAGUGAAGUGUUGACAACCCUGAAAUAUUUGGGGUUAUUAAGUCAAGUCUAGAAAGCACAGGUCGUCGAAAAUAUUUGUAAGCUGAAGAAGCCAAGUGAAACAUAGAACUAUGGGCUAUAUGGCUCUUUUAUAUUCUAAUAUUUUGAAAUGUCUCCCUUCAGUAAUUUUUGUAAACUGUAAAAUUUGACUAAAAAAUAG